Molecule: non-coding RNA, 810 nt
Organism: Marmota flaviventris (yellow-bellied marmot)
Lineage: Eukaryota; Metazoa; Chordata; Mammalia; Rodentia; Sciuridae
Source: RefSeq, a predicted model, not a curated record
UUUUUUUUUUUUUACCUUAUAAUGUUUUUUCCAGGGUAUAAUGGUCAUUACCAAGGCUUUUAGAAUACAGUUUCUUAUUUGCUGUGGACAUGACCAUAAAAUAAUUCCCUCUAGGUUUUCUAUCUGCUACUUUGCUAGCAUUCAACCUAUUGGGAACAUUUCAAGUAUACUUUUUUUUUUUAUCUAUGUUGCCUAGAUUUUUAAAACAUUCAGAUUCUCACCAUGGUAGAUAAUUAGCUUUCUGGGGCCAAACCACACACACUGUUUACACCAGUUUGGUGAUAUGGCUCCAGAACUCAUUCUUGAUUGCUCUAAUUCUCUAUAUCCUUAUUAUAUUAUAGGGCUCUUGAAACAAACAGAUAAGCAUCAGAUCUUCUAAAAAGGGUAUUCUUGGAAUGGACAACAAAGGAAUCACAAUGGAAAUUCCUUAAAUAAAAAUUUAUUGACUUAAAAUUACACACUUUUAAAAGAAAAACACCAUUCUAAAGAAGAGUCAACCUGUAUUUUUGGCUCGAAGUUUCUCUAGUGUUUUCUGUGGAGAGAAUAAAUAAAAAUAAGCAGCAGUUCCUAUUGUGGUAUGCCCUAAAUAUAAGAAGGGAGGGGGCUUGUUUACCUUAUGAAAUUCUUUUGCCCUUUCUCUGUUCUGGGCAUAAGCUUCUUGUUUUGCUUUCUCUACCUUUUGUUGUUUCACUUCAGCUAAUUGAUUAUAUAGUCUGAAAGUAAUUUAUAUGGAAUUAAAUACAAUAUUGAAAAAUGAGCUACUAAAAAUAAAGCAAAAAAAAAAAAGCUACCUUAGAGCCCUUUGGUGCA